UACCAAGUUACCCCCAAGUCACCUCUUCCCGUCUGAUUUGAACCCCUCCAUUUCUUCUACUAUAACCUUACUCUCUCUUUAAACCAUAUUGUAUUUCUAUGCCCUAUUUUACUUCAUCAUCUCUAUCAAGAUCAGAAAAAAAUUAGAAACCCGGGGAUUUAAAAUUUUAGCGGAAAUGGAGGAUGUGGUGCUAACAAGUUCAUCAAGAAGCUUUUAAAAUGUUAAGGUUGGAUCCAUUCCAAAGCAGUUUCCGUUCUCGGAAUCGGAGAUCCGAAAGCCUUGUUUUGCUUCCAAAGAGGUUUUCCUUAACCAUCCUACUUUUCUCGAACUUAAGUCCCCGAUUAAGAUCUGUGGUAACCAAUUUGUUACUAAGUAUUGUAAUCUCUAUUCCAUGGUUUAUGUGUUUCAGCAUUCAGAGUGAUUUUGUUUUAUUUUUUAUCGCUAUUUAGGUUACAUACUUACAUGUAUGCCAAGUGUUUGUGAAAAUGCUUAAAUGAGAUAAUCUAUUUAAGAUUACGUGCUAUUUACAUGUGUAUGAAUCAAAUCACAUAUGCAUGUACAAGAACCAUGACUAGAUAUUUUACCUAACCAAAAAAAAUCUAUUUCCCAUAUUUUGUUGGAUCCAAUUUCAUGUGUAGCAGGGAAGUCAUGGAUUUUUGUCACUAAAUCUGAUGCCACACUUGACAAAAGAUAGACUACCAAGCACCAAAUUUUGGAUUUUUUGUGGAUCCAAUAGAUGUUGAUCACUGUCAAGAAACAAGAAUGUUACAAUAGCUUAAAAGGUAGGGAUAUCGGCUGCAGGUCAGGGCAUCUAAUGGCAUCUUCUACUCUAAACAUUGUAUCUCUAUGUUGCCUCCUAUGCCUUUUAUUUUUGUGAAAACAUUUCAAGUGUGUUGCAGCAUUGGCAUGCCUUUUAGAAUUUCCGAGUUCAUACUUGGAAACAAUAAAUGGAAUCACAAGUGGUUGAGAGCUUAAUUUCUUGACAGAUAUAGAAUUCAUAUUUAAUUGCAUCCAAAUUGAAGAGGUUGUGGAGAGGAAUUGGUUUGAAGUUGAAUUUUAUGCUAAUUAUUGGAGACUUUUUUUUAUCAGAAGAGGUUCGGUGUUAUUUCUCGCUACAUAUGUGAAGAUCCAAGAUAGAAUUUUGUUGUUUUAAGGAAUAACUUUGGUUUUUUAUUUUAGCUUCUUUUUUCAUUGAAUAUACAGCAGUAUAUUUCAUUCUAAUUUCAAGUUCAUUGCCUACCUUUUGGUCGAGGAUAAUGAAGAUAUUUUUAGGUGUUUGAUUUUCAAUGUAACACUCUACUGUCCUGCCAUAAUCCAUUGCCUUUAUGGUGGAUCCUCUAUAUUUUGGUUCGAGUGAUGUGAAGGAUAAAAUACACUCCAUGAAUGGUGCGCUCAAGGAUUAAAUACACUAUAUUAUUGUUUUGUUUUCUUAUUAUACUUC
Long non-coding RNA from Lactuca sativa (garden lettuce), 1441 nucleotides. RefSeq lists it as uncharacterized. The record is from RefSeq and is a predicted model, not a curated record. NCBI's taxonomy places the organism in Eukaryota, Viridiplantae, Streptophyta, Magnoliopsida, Asterales, Asteraceae.